CCCGACAAUGCCCUAUGCUAGCAAUGUUUACUCGCCUCGAUGUUCCUCCGUCUGCAAAUUAAGCACGGAUCCAAUGUUAAUGCCAAUUUCCUAGGUUAAUCACCGGUCGUCGUCGUUAGUAGUGUUUCUACUGCUACUAGUAAAUCCAUAAGCAAACCUGACAAGAAAACGUGGCAUGUGCGUCUCUAGUGACACAUUCCUGAUGGGUACCGCUUGCAAGUCCAGAAAAGGGUUGGAUGUCGAUUACACACAUUUAACAGCACAUUGCAGGGCUCUACUGUGCUGUCGCACUAAGCUCCCAGCUUUAGUUGCAAUGAUUCCUACCACUUAGUAGUUAGUACAGCCCCAAACAUCUUUGUGUCCACCGCUGUUUCUGUAGUAGGAGUAGGUGAUAUCACGUGGCUAUCUUUUUCUCACCGGGAAUUUUAUGCCUUUCUGAGACAAUGGUGCUCGUACUACUUGCUGGGCCAGAAAACAUAUGACAACACAAAGGAAGUCAAGAGCACUCAGCACAGACAUUCCUAAUUGCCCUUUCCUGAAUGAACUUGUGCCAUAUACAGAGUUUAUGGGUAAGAAGGUUGCAUGCUGGAAUGGACGAACGCGCAGGGACUUGGCUGAAACCUGGGCAUAAAAAAACUCCCAAAUGGUACAAAAAAGAUGCGCUAGGCGUUCAGGCUAAGGACUAAUCGGCACUGUUAUUCCCCAGAAGAGCAUCAGAGGUCACGUGCAGCCGCAGAACCAUUUCAGACUAAGGGGCUGUUUGGUUCUAGGCCUAGCAUUGUCACACUUUGCCACAUAUUUUGGCCAAGCUUACCUAAGGUUAGUUCAUCAAAAUGAAAGCCACAAGUUGGCAUCUUGGCAUCCAAGGUGAGAACGGAUAAACCAUGGCUAAUUUGAUGGUAGUGGCAGAGAUGUAAUGCAGCUAAUUAUAUAUAGGCGCCACUUAGGCUAAUGACGACGCCUCGGCCACCUCUCUCUCCCCUUGUUGACCGUAUGAUACCGCCGCACAUGCAGGGGGGAGGAUUCUAAUGGUACGCCGCGCCAACGUCAAAUCGCGUCGGAUUAAGGUAUUUGGUUAUCUGCAAUUGGGCCGCAGGGAAUAGAUUCUGACGAACCAAAUACGUCCGUCCACCAGCAAUGCCGAUGGUACUACCACUAAAGGUAUACUAAUGCUACCACCGUCCGUAUAUUCUGUAAUUGUCAGAUUCGAUGGGUGGUAUUCUUUCUUCCUGGCGCGUCGAUUGCUGUUGGUGGUAGAAUCUUACGGCAUGCGUGGUGCAAGAAACCUUAAUCUUACAGCGGUGAUAACAUAAACUUCUGGGCGAGGAGGACUCAACAGUGGGUCGGUGAUAAUCAUAUCGUUGGUGAGAUGCAGGGAUGUACUGGUACGAAUUUUCCACUUGUCGUAGACGUGUAGCUGAAGGUGAGUGCGUAGGUGCCACACGCACACACACACGCCGAAUGCGACUAAUGACGGAAAUUAUCUGUCGCUAUUGGCUUUGACUAAUCGAACAGGGACUAGUCAUGGUUGCGUUAUUGCCGGGUGCAGUGCGAUAUCCAUCUUAGAGCAUCUUCAACAGUCGCCCCAAACGACGCGCGCGGGAAGCGUUUGCGCGCGCGCGCGAAAAGGCCAGCUCACGCGCAAGAUUUGGCGCGCCGCUUCGCGCGCGCCUAUAAAAGCUGCGCGUGCCACGCGCCUUCUCCACACACAUCUCUUCCCCUCUCCCUCUCCCUUUCUGCCACGCGCCGCUCCAGCGCUUCGCCACCGCCGCGCCGCCAUGCCGCUGCGCCGCCGAGGAGCGUCCGGCCACCGCGGCGUCCGCCUGCGGCCCAACGGCAGCUACACCACGGAGAUACGCUCCGGCGAACUCCGGCUCGCCCUCGGCACGUACGGGACGGCGCAACAGGCUGCCCGCGCGUACGACGCGGCGGCGUGGCGCCUAGGCCGGCCGCGCGGCCAGAUGAACUUCCAAGAUGUGUACACCCUCGAGCAAGCGCUCAACCUCGCCCCUCUGCCUCGUCUGAACACGGAGGAAGACCGUGCGGAGCACGCCGAGCGGCAACGCCGCCUCCUCGUCGCCCAGGAGGACGAGAGGGUCAUGGCGGACUGGCGCCAGCGCCACCCGGAGGACGUCGCCUACGAGCAAGCCUACUGGGCAAGGCGCCGCGAGGAAGACACGCAAAGGUGCCGCGCGUCGCGGUUGGACAAGCGUCGGCGGAAGGCGUUGGCGAAUGCGCAGUCCGACCUCGUUGCAGCAGGUGGGCGGUCGUUCUUCACGCCGAACGAUGAGCGGUGGCUGGACAUCUGGCUAUCUACCUCGGACGACACCGCCGAGGAUGAUAGUGGUGAUGAUGAUAGCGACUUAGAGUAGUUUUUUUUUGUUAAUGCAAUUUAUGUUUAUCGUUUGUCGUUUUUAUUUUAUGCAAUCUAUGUUUCGGAUGUAAAAUACCUUUGUAUCGUUUAAUCUAUGCAAUCUAUCUAGUUUUUUAAAAAAAUUCAACUUUUAAAAAUGCAUACAUUUUUAGUCGCACGCGUUGCAUUUUAGCGCGCUGCAUUUCAGCGCGGCUGCUGGAGCCAGCGCAGCGCUGCAUUUUAGCGCGCUGCAUUUCAACAGGUUUUUUGCGCGCGGCGCUUUAGCGCAGCUGUUGGAGAUGCUCUUAGGGCAACAACGGAAAGGAGACGCAAAACUGGAAUUGUGGGAGGAAAGUGCGAAGAAGUAUUUGGUACCUCUAGCAGCACUUUGAGAAAUUUACUGUGUAGUGGCGCCAGUGUACUGCACCCUGCAACUACAAGCAAGGCUGCAACGGCUUUCGCUUACAAAUAGUCACGGGUACACCGCUGCCGCCCGUUAACCAUGGCUUCACGCUUUCACUGUUCAAGUAUUCCUACUCCUGCCUCGACACACAAAAGUACUUCUACUCCACAACCCUAUACGUAUGGUAGUGGAGUACGUGCUAGUCCAUGCACAGUAACUCUACCGACAGUACAGUUCACGUGUCCGACCCUCAGGUAAAUCUCUCAUGAUGAUGGUAAGUGAGUGGUAACAUCACAUCACCUGGCACGGCUGGCAGGUGGGCCGCGGCCGGUGGCGCCGCGGCUGGCAGGUGGGCCACGCAUGAACAGCGGUAGUAGUGUACAGUAGAGCCGCUGAAGUCAACAACAGCGUAGCUAAUACUCGUACUGGACAAGUACUUAGCUCACGCUCUACGGCAGGAGACAAAGGUCGGUGUGCGCCGUGGUCCACCGGCCCGGCCCGUGUGCGUGGCCGUAGACGUGGUGGACAGUGCGCAGAAUGCAAGGACCAAUCGUGCACUCACAAAAGAAAAGGUCUAUCUCACGCCCUAGCACCCAUUUACGAGCGCAUUCAAAGCGCGCUAAAUUACGACGCGACGGGGUUGAACGCUGCGUUCCUGAUGGACGGCUGGUGAUUUUUUGGCGCGGUCUGUCUCGUCCGCCGAGAGUUUUGCUCCGGUGGGCAAUGGCGUGCGUGUGGUUGAUUUGUCACGGGGACUUUUGCGGUACUACGAGCUUAGGAACGUCGCUAUCCUCUUCGUACUUCAGAAAUCAACCACGUGUUUUUGCCAGAAAAAAUUAACAUGGGGCGCGUCAGCAAACACACUUGUAGGACUAGUACUAGUAAACUAGUGGGGAGGAAAACUACAAGGAGCGCUGCGCUGUUUUUGGUUUUUCCUUGGCCCAAAGGCCAAAUUUCUUCCCCCUCGCACAAAAAAUUUCAAACAAAGAAGAUGACCUCGCAUAUCAUGCCAGGACAAAACAAAAAACAAUUGAUAAGCACCUGACGAAUUCGAGACUGGGAAACCUAUGUUAAGUUUUUCGAGACCAAAAUGAUCUUUGCUACUACUCCUAGAAGAAACGGCAGCGGAGGAACCACGCGAUUGAUUGAAUCGUAGAGGAAGGGAAGAGAACUCACCAGAUGACGAUGAAGCAAGCGGGCGACGGAGGCGCAGAUUAUCUCCCGUUGGUGAGAAAAGAGGAACCAAUCUUGCGAACCACUCGCCCCUCCCCGCACGCCGCACCCCUUCUUCCUCCCCGGUUCCCUCGGUCUCUUGUCUCGGACUCAAACAAGGGGCUGGCAGUCAGGAAACUCGUGAAGUCGUGGUCGGCGCAGGCAAGCUCGUGCUCGUGCUCGUCCCCCACGACACCGACCUGUCGCCGCCUCGUCUCGUCCGGGGCAGAGGCCACGGGAUGGAGGGGCACGGGCGGCACCGGGCAGGGAGACGACGACGCGCUAUUGUGUUGGGAUUGGGAGGCGACGAUAAGAGAAAAACUGGAGUGGUAGGAUUUCCUUCCAAACCCCGUCAUUGAUCACCUGGGGCGUAUUUAUUCGGAUUCAAUGCGCG
RNAcentral lists this long non-coding RNA (4362 nucleotides) under Triticum aestivum (bread wheat). RNAcentral's name for it is "long non-coding RNA (TAES_LNC026965)". The record is from RNAcentral. Lineage: Eukaryota; Viridiplantae; Streptophyta; Magnoliopsida; Poales; Poaceae.